This 468-nucleotide ribosomal RNA is filed under the name uncultured bacterium. RNAcentral describes it as "partial 16S ribosomal RNA". It matches the Rfam family "Bacterial small subunit ribosomal RNA", at positions 28 to 507 of the family's 1533-position model. The record is from RNAcentral.
GACGAACGCUGGCGGCGUGCUUAACACAUGCAAGUCGAACGGAAAGGCCCUGCUUUUGUGGGGUGCUCGAGUGGCGAACGGGUGAGUAACACGUGAGUAACCUGCCCUUGACUUUGGGAUAACUUCAGGAAACGGGGGCUAAUACCGGAUAGGAGCUCCUGCUGCAUGGUGGGGGUUGGAAAGUUUCGGCGGUUGGGGAUGGACUCGCGGCUUAUCAGCUUGUUGGUGGGGUAGUCGCAUACCAAGUCAUAGGCGGGUAGCCGGCCUGGGAGGGUGGCCGGGCUCCGGGGGCCUACGGGAGGGCCCAGUCGGCAAGAGGGGACAAUGGGGGAAAGUCUGACACAGGCGGACGGCGUGGGUGACAACGGCCCCGCGGUUGGAAGGCCGGUUUGUGGGGAAAAAACCGCAUCAGCUUAAAACGAAGCGGUUGUGACGGUAACGGAAAAAAAAGCACCGGCUAACUACGUG